AACGAACGCUGGCGGCAUGCCUAACACAUGCAAGUCGAACGAACCCUUCGGGUCUAGUGGCGCACGGGUGCGUAACGCGUGGGAACCUGCCCUUAGGUUCGGAAUAACUCACGGAAAGGGGUGCUAAUACCGGAUAAUCCCUUCGGGCGAAAGAUUUAUCGCCUUUGGAUGGGCCCGCGUUUGAUUAGCUAGUUGGUAGGGUAAAAGCCUACCAAGGCGACGAUCAAUAGCUGGUCUGAGAGGAUGAUCAGCCACACUGGGACUGAGACACGGCCCAGACUCCUACGGGAGGCAGCAGUGGGGAAUAUUGGACAAUGGGCGAAAGCCUGAUGCAGCAAUGCCGCGUGAAUGAUGAAGGUCUUAGGAUUGUAAAGCUCUUUUACCCGGGAUGAUAAUGACGGUACCGGGAGAAGAAGCCCCGGCUAACUUCGUG
Molecule: ribosomal RNA, 433 nt
Filed under: uncultured bacterium
Lineage: Bacteria
Description: partial 16S ribosomal RNA
Rfam family: Bacterial small subunit ribosomal RNA
Source: RNAcentral